AAUAAAUGUAACAUAAUACAAUGCACCACCUAGAGAUUUACUUUGCAUCAUGCAAACAUCAGUAUGAACUAAAUCAAGACUAUGAGUCUUUCUAGAUGCAGGGAAUCUAUGAAAUGCAACUCUAGUUUGCUUAUCAACUAAGCAAUAAGUACAAGGGAUAAGUGAUGUACCUUUCACGUUAUGUAAGAGCUUCCUUCUGGACAGAAUUUGAAGUCCCUUUUCAUUCAUGUGGCCAAGCCGCUUAUGCCAUAGCUCAGUAGAGGCUUCAUUUUCAGCAAUAUUCAUAUUUUCAUGAAUUAGUUUUGCUUCUGUUUUGUAGAGACCAUUAGUCUUCUUCCCUCUGGCUAAAACAAGAGAACCUUUUGUAAGUUUCCAAGAACCAUCUCCAAGGUGAUUAUGAUAGCCUUCUUCAUCAAGCUUUCCAAUAGAAAUCAAGUUGCAGCGCAUAUAAAGAACAUGUUUGACAACCCCGAUAAAUAACUUGCUACCAAUGCUAGUUUCCAAUUGUACAUCCCCCAUACCAACAAUUCUUGCUUUAGCUUCAUUUCCUAUCCUGAUCCAACCAAAAUCACCACUGGUAUAGGAUGAAAAGAAAUCCCUACGUGGAGUAAUAUGAACAGAAGCUCCUGUAUCAACUAUCCACGUAAAAUCCUGGCAUGAAAGGCUAGCAAAUGCUUCAUCACAAGCAACAAAUACCUCUGCAUCAGAUGCAACUGCUAUGAUCUCCUUUUGUUCUUUCCAUUCUUCACCUUUCAAUUUAAGCUGUUCUCUUUUCCAUUUCCUGCACUCCUUUUUAAGAUGCUCCAGAUUGCCACAAUAAUAACAUUUUAUCCCUUUUCUUAACUUUGAUCUUCUUCUACACUUGUCACGACUGUCAUCACCAUAAGAUUUUUUACUUCGGUUUCUCCCCCUUCUUUUUGUAAAAAGUGCUUCAGAGUUAGAAGAACCGCCCUGCUCCUUUCUUCUGGCUUCUUCAUUAAACAUACUGUCUUUCACCAUGUUGACAGUGAUUACACCAUUUGGAGUUGAAUUGCUCAAAGAGACAACUAAAGUUUCCUAACUAUCUGGUAAUGAACUCAACAGAAGUAAAGCCUGCACCUCACCAUCUAUCGUAAGCUUCAUGGUAGUUAACUCAUUCAACAACUUUUGAAAGCUACUGAAGUGCUCUGCAACACUAUUACCAUCCCAGUACUUUAAAUUUAUGAGCCUUCUGAUCACAAAGGCCUUGUUCUGUGUAGUCUUUCUUUCAUAAAGACUUUCCAAUUUCUGCCAAAGACUGUAUGCAUCUACUUCUUUGGCUAUAUGAUAGAAGACACUCUGAUCAAUCCACUGCCUAAUUUGUCCAAUAGCCUUUCUAUUCAAUUUCUUCCAAUCCUCAUCAGUUUUAAAAUCGGGUUGCUUUCUAUUCAAUUCAAUGGGAUCGAACAAAUCUUUGCAAUACAAAAUAUCCUCCAUCCUAGUCUUCCAAAUAGAAUAAUUGGAAGAUGUGAGUUUAACCAUGCCACUAGCCGAAUCCUCCAUUUUAAUUCUCACAAUAAUCACAGAGACUCAACCUCGCUCUGAUACCACUUUGUUAGGGAUUAAACUAAUAACACAACCAAAGCAGCGAAUACAAUAUCACAAUCCCCUAUUAUGCAAAAUCAAAAUGGCAGUAAAAUAACACCAGCUCCAACUCACACACACUGGCAGAAAUGUAAAGAUAAGAACACCAAUAUUUGUUCAAUAGGGAAACCGUUCAACGUGAAGGAAAAAUCCCGGGACCUAGUUUAGUAAAAGUCAUCCACUAUCAAAAUAAUGGGAUACACCCCCUCUCCAGAACACAAUCUAGAGGCUACCAAUGCAUCAAGAACAUAUAUAUAUUCUUGGAUAUCAACAACAACAUCAUACUAAAAUAGAUACACACACAAUAAGGAGAAAUUCUCACUAAACUAGUGUGUAGAGUCCAGAGAAAUGGAGAAGAAUCUGGACGAUUAGCUCCGAUCAAAAUGUAGCCAUCUUUGUCAAGAAUAACAAACUGAAAUUUCAGCUUAAUCGGACCAUGGAUGAAUCUCGAUCUUUGGCAAGAAGAAACUGAAAUAGCGUAGUCUCUCUCUCUCUCGUUCGGUCUCUGUUUCAGAAGAAAAUGAAGCUGCCUAUUUUGGAAAGUCUGCUGCCCAUUUUUCUCCCUCAAUUGUAUCUAUAUUUGCCUUUGUUAUUGGACCAUUAAAUGGGUUUAAUUGGUUUGGACUUUAGUGGGCUACUAAAUGGGUAAGUCCCUAAAGUGGAGGGAAAACCCAACAAAAGGAAGAAAAUGAACUGCAUUAUUUUCUCUUUAAGUCAGCGGCUGAGCUAACAGCAAAUUCUGUUGGUGAAUUCAUGACUAACAUUCCAGCACAAAGCUCUCUUCUGGCUACUUCAGCCACUUUCUCUGCACUCAAUAGUUCAUCUUCAAGUUGGCAACUUCCAUGCCUCCUCGAGGUUCCCGUUUCCCUCCACAGAUCUUUGAGCACUUAGUUUCUUGGAAGAUUUCCUGGAAGAAUAUUUCUCUAGUUGUUGUGCAUACAAGUAACCAACACCUGCUGCUGCAAGAUCAAGUCCAUCAAGUCCUAGAGCUUCCUGGAUUGCAUCAAGGAGCCUGGACCAUUGGACGCAAAUGUUAAACAUUGACAUCCCCCAAAAUAUAUCUUGAAUGGUCAUCUGUGAAUGAGAUAAAAUACUUCUAACCAUUUAGACAAGGAGUAGAAAAAGGUCCACAAAUAUCCAUGUGAGUAAUCUCAAGAAUGUCCGAAUUCCUCUUGGCACCUUUAGUAGUCUAGUUUGUCAGCUUCCUUUUAUGCAGUCAAUAAGUCCGAAAAUCAGUAAAGUCUAAGAGUUAGUAAAAGUAAAACUCCAUCAUUCACUAAUCUUUUAAGUCUUUCUAUGGAGAUAUGUCACAAUCUCCUAUGCCACAACUUAGAGGAGUUCUCUUUAACAAUACAAUGCUUAUUGCUAAGACAAUCACCAUGCAGUUCGGAUAAGUUACACUAACAAGUGGGAUCCAAAAUAAAUUUAUAUAAAUUAUCGACCAAAACAUCAUAUCCAACAAUAACUAAAUUGUGAAAUAAGCUAAAACUUCUGUUUUCAAAUACAAACUUGAAAUUAAAAGGUGUUAAUCUUGAAAUAGAAACUAAAUUACAUGAAAAGCUUGAAACAUAAAAAAGUGUUUUUGAGAUCCAAAUGAAAACUAGAAUUUUAAACUAAUCGAAAGGUUCCCACGCCUUCAAUUGUUGAACUCAACUGGUUUCCAAAAUAGACUCUUUGUUCAUUUGGUUGCGAUUUCCUUAGGUUCAAAAAGUCGUGCAUAAUAUUGACAGUGUGAAUUAUAGUACUUGAAUCAAUCUACCAUGUAUUGUUUGAAAAAUUAACCAAAAGAGAAUCAUGACACACUAAAGAGAUAAGAGUAUCUUUCUUUUCAAGCCAU
Molecule: long non-coding RNA, 3439 nt
Filed under: Olea europaea subsp. europaea
Lineage: Eukaryota; Viridiplantae; Streptophyta; Magnoliopsida; Lamiales; Oleaceae
Source: RNAcentral